This 274-nucleotide ribosomal RNA is filed under the name uncultured bacterium. Its description in RNAcentral is "partial 16S ribosomal RNA". It matches the Rfam family "Bacterial small subunit ribosomal RNA", at positions 523 to 796 of the family's 1533-position model. The record is from RNAcentral.
AUACGAAGGGUGCAAGCGUUACUCGGAAUCACUGGGCGUAAAGCGCGCGCAGGCGGUCUUUUAAGUUGGAUGUGAAAGCCUACGGCUCAACCGUAGAACUGCAUCCAAAACUAUUAGACUAGAGUGUGGGAGAGGAAGAUGGAAUUAGUUGUGUAGGGGUAAAAUCCGUAGAGAUAACUAGGAAUACCAAAAGCGAAGGCAAUCUUCUGGAACACUACUGACGCUGAGGCGCGAAAGCGUGGGGAGCAAACAGAAUUAGAAACCCCAGUAGUCC